CUUCCACCGCUGCAGCCGCAGCUCCUCCUUUCCCUUCUCUUCUUCUUCUCCUUCUCUUCCAGCUACAGCUUCCUCUGCCGCAGCCGCAGCUCCUCCUUUCCCUUCUCUUCUUCUCCUCUUCUUCUUCCUUCCUCGUCCCCGGCGUCACACACCCUCUCCUCUGUUUCCUCUGCAGGAAACAGAGGUAUCACAACCUCUUUCUCUUCCUCUUCUUCUUCUUCUCACGCCCCACACCUCUCCUUGUUGAAUCUCGUAUUUUGAUGAUGAAACUACUUGAUAUAUGUUUAUGAUUUAAUCUGCGUUUUGAGUGACGCAGGAUGCCUCGAUCAAGAUGAGACAAUUAAAGCAGAAAUAUCAUGUUGUGCCGGAGGAACAUGUCAGAAGAUUGGACGUCGGGCCAGUGGAUCGGUUGACGUAUCGACAGAAGGCUUCGGGUCGUGGUCUCGGGCAUCGGGCCAAGAAGAGCGGGUAUUGUGCCAAGGAUAUCGGAGUUGCGGAGUCAACUGGCCGAUUGGGCAAUAGGCUGCAGGAAAGGACGAUGCGCCGAAGAAUUGGACGAAGCGUCGAGGGACCAAUGACAUGCCGGACAACUUGGUUAAUUGCUUACGAUUAAUUGUCUCGAUCGAAGUUUUUGUUUUACAUGUGCAGGAUUAAGUACGAUGAAAGUUAGACAAGCAGCAGGAGUUGCGCCGGAGUCAAGUUCAUGAUCACGUUGGGAGUUCGAGAGUUCGACGGAAGUUCGGACGGUCGUCGGAGGUUCUGCGAGAACAGAUCCGAGAAGUCCAGAAGCUUGCCAAGCGAAGCUCGUCGGAACUCGCCAAGUGGAUCGUCGCAAAGUCCAGGAGUUUGCCGGAAGUCCGCAGGAGCAUCACCGAGGGUUCAUCGGAUGAUCGACGGAAGUUCGCUGGAAACUCGCCGGAAGAAGCGAUUGACGCACCGAAGCAAAGCUGCAGAAAUUGUCUUAGAUCUAAUCGUAGUUAGCACAUUGAUUAAGUUGGAAAAUGGGAGGUGAUCCCAUUAGCUUAAUCUUGGGGCAAUUGGGCCCCUGAAAGACUAAAAUUGGGCCGAAUGGAGCUAACCAUUCGGACCCUGAUUGCACCAGGAGGUGCAACCGCCUAGGCCAGGAGGUGGCACCGCCUGGGCUAAGCCUCCCAGCGAGACUGGGCGGUGCAACCUCCCCAGCCAGGAGAUGGCACCGCCUGAGCUCGGUCUUCGAGCUAGACUGGGCGGUGCAACCUCCCUGACAGAGAGGUGGCACCGCCUGAGCUCAGUCUUCGAGCAAGACUGGGCGGUGCAACCUCCCUGACAGAGAGGUGGCACCGCCUGAGCUCGGUCUUCGAGCUCUGGCAGAGAGGUGCAACCGCCUCAAUCAAGAGGUGGCACCGCCUGGGCUCAGUCUUCGAGCUCUGCCAGGCGGUACAACCUCUCCAGUCAAGAGGUGCAACCGCCUGACCCCGGAAUUCCGGGAUUUGAUCGUUUUGAGCUCCAAAUUUGAAUUGGGUUAGGCCUAUAAAUACCCCACCCAUUCAGCACUAAAGAGAUACAGAUCCACACCGAAUUCUUGAUCUUUUCAGUGAUUCUAAGAGCUCAAAUUUGUGUAAAGUCCAAAAGUUCUCCUCUUUUCUGUUCUUCAAGUCUUGAGUUGUAAAGAUAGGAGAGAAAGGAUCUGUAAGAGUUGUCUCCUGAGCCCGUCAAAAGGAGAGAAACUGUAAAAGGGCAGUUGGCCUUCGCCCAUUGAAGGAAGGCCCCUAGUUGACAUCGGUGACCUCGCCGGUGGAGGAAGCCAAAAGUGGAGUAGGUCAAGACUGACCGAACCACUCUAAAUCUCUGGUUUGCAUUUAUUUUGAGCACUUUAUCAUCACUGCAAACCUCCUACAUAGCUACUGCUCUCUGCGCUUUUACGAACAAGUUUCUAAGUUCUAAUCUUUCCGAAUCUGCAUUCAGACGUCAAAAGGUGUUUUCGUACGAUCUUUACAUUGCAGCUUACAUUUACGUCUUGAAUCUGUUUAUAACUGCGAACUGUCUUCUGCGCUUUUACGAACGAGUUUCAAAGUUCAGACGUAAAUCUGCGUUUAAGACGUAAAUCUGCGUUUAGACGUAAAUCUACGUUUAGACGUAAAUCUGCUUUUUGCAGAUUACUUUUUGAGUUGUACAAUAGCAGCACAUUAUACUUCUGCUUAAACUGCGCUUAGACGCAAACUGUGUUUAGACGCAAACUGCGCUUAGACGCAAUCUGCGCUUAGACGCAAACUGCGCUUAGACGCAAUCUGAGUUUAGACGCAAUCUGCAUUUAGACGCAAACUGCGUUUAGACGCUAACUGUGUUUAAACAUAAACUGCACUUAAUCAUAAGUAAUCUUAGAAUCGGCUUUUGCAUCAAAAUAGUUUUUAUCGAAUGAACGCAGCUUUCGUUUUUAAUCGCUGAAAUAUUUCCGCUGCACUAAUUCACCCCCCCCCUCUUAGUGCUCUCGAUCCUAACACUCCUCUGUUUCCUGCUGCGGGAAACAGAGGUGCUGCAGCCCUAGCUGCUGCCACCUCUCGCUCCUCUCCCUCUUCCCUCUCUUUUCCCUCUUCUUCUCCUUCUCUUCUUCUUCUCUUCCCUUUUCCUCCCCAACGCCACACACCUCCUCGCUGCAGCCUUGCCGCAGCUAUCCUCCUCUCUUCUUCUUCUNNN
This 2673-nucleotide long non-coding RNA is filed under the name Musa acuminata (dwarf banana). Its description in RNAcentral is "long non-coding RNA (MACU_LNC005377)". Lineage: Eukaryota; Viridiplantae; Streptophyta; Magnoliopsida; Zingiberales; Musaceae. The record is from RNAcentral.